Molecule: ribosomal RNA, 501 nt
Filed under: uncultured bacterium
Lineage: Bacteria
Description: bacterial SSU rRNA
Rfam family: Bacterial small subunit ribosomal RNA
Source: RNAcentral
CAGGAUGAACGCUAGCUACAGGCUUAACACAUGCAAGUCGAGGGGCAGCAUAAUCGAAGCUUGCUUGAUGAUGGCGACCGGCGCACGGGUGAGUAACGCGUAUCCAACCUUCCCCUUAGUAGGGCAUAGCCCGGCGAAAGUCGGAUUAAUACCCUAUGUUAUCCGUCGAGGACAUCUGAAGUGGAUUAAAGAUUUAUCGCUAAGGGAUGGGGAUGCGUCUGAUUAGGUUGUUGGCGGGGUAACGGCCCACCAAGCCUACGAUCAGUAGGGUUCUGAGAGGAAGGUCCCCCACAUUGGUACUGAGACACGGACCAAACUCCUACGGGAGGCAGCAGUGAGGAAUAUUGGUCAAUGGGCGAGAGCCUGAACCAGCCAAGUAGCGUGCAGGAUGACGGCCCUAUGGGUUGUAAACUGCUUUUGCAUGGGAAUAAAGUCGGGGACGUGUCCCCGUUUGUAUGUACCAUGAGAAUAAGGACCGGCUAAUUCCGUGCCAGCCGCUGC